Molecule: long non-coding RNA, 829 nt
Filed under: Coturnix japonica (Japanese quail)
Lineage: Eukaryota; Metazoa; Chordata; Aves; Galliformes; Phasianidae
Description: lncRNA (ENSCJPG00005012450.1)
Source: RNAcentral
UGGGCUGUGGUUUUCUAUUUGGCAAUAGUGCAGCUUAAAUGAAUGUAUGCUGUCCCUCCAGCUCCCCUGUCCAGCCCAGACCUGGUUUGUGCUGCAGCCACAAACAGCAGCACCAGCACAACAUGGGGCCUUCUCCUUCUGCAGCUCACUGCUUGGAAAGAUUUCAGGAGUGCUUCUGUCCCAUUUUAAGCCCUACAGUUCAGCAGCCAAAUAUAAAGGUGCUGUUUCCCCCCCGGGCUGCCGGGGCCGAGCCGAGGCAGAGGGACCCGUGAGGAUGUGCGUGGUGGUCCCGCACCGCCCGUCCCGCAGCCCCGUCCCGGCUCUUCCUGCCCGAGGGAAGCAGCAGCGGAUCCCCACCCGCUUCGCAGUGAGUUCGCCUGGCCUUGGAGUUCUCUUUGCCUCCAGGCAAAGGCUCCUGUCUAAACCGCGCCAUGAAAAUAAAACACAGAGGGAGAGAAGGAGGGGAAGUUGUGUUUCCCAAAACUGAAAGACAGUAAAAAAAGGUCGUCAAAAAUAUCCAGAUGAAGACAGUAAAGGAAGAACAUCAACAACUUUAGGGACGGGAUUCUAAGAGCGAAAAUGGUUUCAGGCUAAAAUGACAUUAAAAAUCACGAGGGCACGUUUUCUUCGCAGCGCGGCUUUCACACACGAGCAUAUAACACACAUGAGAAAACACGUUUUAAGAAUUGAACUUACCCCCGCCUGCCAAAUCCUCCCAACUUGUGGGACUGUUCCUUAGCGCUGCACACAACCUGGUCCUCCAAGCCCUGCGUUAAGCACUGCUGAUACAGUGGAACAGGAAUAAAAUUGAAAAGAAAAGUUUUUGUCA